UCCCAGCAGCCCCAGCGUUAUAUAAGGAAGUAGUGAAGUUUGUUUGCUCUUUCGCUUCCGCUUUUGAUUUCGGGGAUGUCGUGGCGGAUUUAGAAGUUGAAAAGAAUGAUAUAGCACUUCAAAAGAAUGGCAGCAGAUAAGCAGUUAUGUUAAAUAAUGCCGGAGCUUUGUCGUGAACUGAACAUAUGAUGUACCGAUUAAGGAGUGUUGUGACUGGAUUAUUGCCUGACUGAUGGUUGCCUGACUGUCCCAGUCGGAAAUAGUGGAUGUUAGAGGGAUGCACGGUUACCGUUUACUUUAGAUUUAAUACUUUUGUUAUUGUUUUUUAUUUAUUUUGUUCUGUGAAUUUGGGACCCAGAGUGUCAGAGGAGAGAUUAGGCCCCAAAGAAACUGGAUUAA
Molecule: long non-coding RNA, 399 nt
Organism: Sinocyclocheilus rhinocerous
Lineage: Eukaryota; Metazoa; Chordata; Actinopteri; Cypriniformes; Cyprinidae
Exons: 4
Source: RefSeq, a predicted model, not a curated record